This 515-nucleotide ribosomal RNA is filed under the name Mastigopsis hjorti (lampeyed whiplash squid). RNAcentral's name for it is "partial 16S ribosomal RNA". It matches the Rfam family "Bacterial large subunit ribosomal RNA", at positions 1819 to 2600 of the family's 2925-position model. The record is from RNAcentral. Lineage: Eukaryota; Metazoa; Mollusca; Cephalopoda; Oegopsida; Mastigoteuthidae.
GUCUCUUUGUAAGUUGUAGAUAAAGAGUCGGGCCUGCUCGGUGAAUAAAUUGUUUUAACAGCUGCGGUAUUUUAACUGUACUAAGGUAGCAUAAUAAUUUGCCUUAUAAUUUGAGGCUAGAAUGAAUGGUUUGACGAAGGUUAAUCUGUCUCUAUCCUAUUUUUUAGAAUUUAAUUUUUAAAGUGAAAAAGCUUGAAUUUUUUAAAGGGACGAGAAGACCCUAUUGAGCUUGUAAUUUUAUUACUAUCAUGUAUUUAAUAUAUAAAGUAGUAUAUAAAUUUUAAUUGGGGUGAUUAAGGAAUAAAUAAUUAAAUUAAUAACUUCCUUAGGUUUAAUAUUGUUAGAUAAAGUAACCAAUAUUAUUGCUUAUAUUAUAGUUACCAUAGGGAUAACAGCGUAAUUUGUUUAGAGAGUUCUUAUUGAAAAAUGAGAUUGCGACCUCGAUGUUGGAUUAAAGUAACCUUAAGGUGCAGAAGCUUUAGAAGGUAAAUCUGUUCGAUUUUUAAAACUUUACA